RNAcentral lists this ribosomal RNA (541 nucleotides) under Stagonosporopsis cucurbitacearum. RNAcentral's name for it is "eukaryotic LSU rRNA". The stretch from base 183 to 336 matches the Rfam family "5.8S ribosomal RNA". The record is from RNAcentral. Lineage: Eukaryota; Fungi; Ascomycota; Dothideomycetes; Pleosporales; Didymellaceae.
GUAACAAGGUUUCCGUAGGUGAACCUGCGGAAGGAUCAUUACCUAGAGUUGCGGGCUUUGCCUGCCAUCUCUUACCCAUGUCUUUUGAGUACCUUCGUUUCCUCGGCGGGUUCGCCCGCCGGUUGGACAACACUUAAACCCUUUGUAAUUGAAAUCAGCGUCUGAAAAACUUUAAUAGUUACAACUUUCAACAACGGAUCUCUUGGUUCUGGCAUCGAUGAAGAACGCAGCGAAAUGCGAUAAGUAGUGUGAAUUGCAGAAUUCAGUGAAUCAUCGAAUCUUUGAACGCACAUUGCGCCCCUUGGUAUUCCAUGGGGCAUGCCUGUUCGAGCGUCAUUUGUACCUUCAAGCUCUGCUUGGUGUUGGGUGUUUGUCUCGCCUUUUGCGCGCAGACUCGCCUCAAAACGAUUGGCAGCCGGCGUAUUGAUUUCGGAGCGCAGUACAUCUCGCGCUUUGCACUCACAACGAGCGACGUCCAAAAAGUACAUUUUUACACUCUUGACCUCGGAUCAGGUAGGGAUACCCGCUGAACUUAAGCAUA